CCUACGGGAUGCAGCAGUGAGGAAUAUUGGUCAAUGGGCGGAAGCCUGAACCAGCCAAGUAGCGUGCAGGAUGACGGCCCUACGGGUUGUAAACUGCUUUUAUACGGGAAUAACGCGCCUUACGUGUAGGGCUUUGCAAGUACCGUAUGAAUAAGGACCGGCUAAAUCCGUGCCAGAAGCCGCGGUAAUACGGAAGGUCAGGGCGUUAUCCGGAGUUAUUGGUGUUAAAGGGAGCGUAGGCCGCAUGUCAAGCGUGCUGUGAAAUGUCCGGGCUCAACCCGGGCAUUGCAGCGCGAACUGGCGUGCUUUAGUCCGCGGAAAGCAGGCGGAAUUCGGCGUGUAGCGGUG
RNAcentral lists this ribosomal RNA (348 nucleotides) under uncultured bacterium. Its description in RNAcentral is "partial 16S ribosomal RNA". It matches the Rfam family "Bacterial small subunit ribosomal RNA", at positions 338 to 683 of the family's 1533-position model. The record is from RNAcentral.